RNAcentral lists this ribosomal RNA (256 nucleotides) under uncultured bacterium. RNAcentral's name for it is "partial 16S ribosomal RNA". It matches the Rfam family "Bacterial small subunit ribosomal RNA", at positions 524 to 776 of the family's 1533-position model. The record is from RNAcentral.
UACGGAGGGUGCAAACGUUGCUCGGAAUCAUUGGGCGUAAAGCGCACGUAGGCGGCUAGAUAAGUCGGGUGUGAAAGCCCUGGGCUCAACCCAGGAAGUGCAUUCGAAACUGUCUAGCUUGAAUCUCGGAGGGGGUCAGAGAAUUCCCGGUGUAGAGGUGAAAUUCGUAGAUAUCGGGGAGGAAUACCAGUGGCGAAGGCGCUGACCUGGGACGAAGAUUGACGCUGAGGUGCGAAAAGCGCGGGGAGCAAACAGG